RNAcentral lists this ribosomal RNA (454 nucleotides) under uncultured bacterium. RNAcentral's name for it is "partial 16S ribosomal RNA". It matches the Rfam family "Bacterial small subunit ribosomal RNA", at positions 28 to 507 of the family's 1533-position model. The record is from RNAcentral.
GGUGAACGCUGACAGAAUGCUUAACACAUGCAAGUCUACUUGAACCUCGGUUUGGGUGGCGGACGGGUGAGUAACGCGUAAAGAACUUGCCUCACAGAUAGGGACAACAUUUGGAAACGAAUGCUAAUACCUGAUAUUAUGAUUUUAGGGCAUCCUAGAAUUAUGAAAGCUAUAUGCAUUGUGAGAGAGCUUUGCGUCCCAUUAGCUAGUUGGAGAGGUAACGGCUCACCAAGGCGAUGAUGGGUAGCCGGCCUGAGAGGGUGAUCGGCCACAAGGGGACUGAGACACGGCCCUUACUCCUACGGGAGGCAGCAGUGGGGAAUAUUGGACAAUGGACCAAGAGUCUGAUCCAGCAAUUCUGUGUGCACGAUGAAGUUUUUCGGAAUGUAAAGUGCUUUCAGUUGGGAAGAAAAAAAUGACGGUACCAACAGAAGAAGUGACGGCUAAAUACGUG